GAAAUGCGAUACGUAAUACGAAUCGCAGCUCUCGGAAUCAUCGAAUCUUUGAACGCACAUUGCACCAUUGGGUAUUCCCAAUGGUAUGCUUGUUUGAGCGAAUACUUCCCUAAUCCUCACGGAUUGUAUUGUGUUUGCACGAAAAUAAUGACGACAGUACUCUACAAAACGGUACCGUCAGUACACUCAUUUUUUUUCCUCAAAUCAAGUAGGACUACCCGCUGAACUUAA
Molecule: unclassified non-coding RNA, 231 nt
Filed under: uncultured Kodamaea
Lineage: Eukaryota; Fungi; Ascomycota; Pichiomycetes; Serinales; Metschnikowiaceae
Also listed under: 1 other name
Description: sequence contains ITS1
Rfam family: 5.8S ribosomal RNA (bases 1-103)
Source: RNAcentral